RNAcentral lists this ribosomal RNA (395 nucleotides) under uncultured bacterium. Its description in RNAcentral is "partial 16S ribosomal RNA". It matches the Rfam family "Bacterial small subunit ribosomal RNA", at positions 523 to 918 of the family's 1533-position model. The record is from RNAcentral.
AUACGUAGGGUGCAAGCGUUAAUCGGAAUUACUGGGCGUAAAGCGUGCGCAGGCGGUUUUGUAAGACAGAGGGGAAAUCCCCGGGCUCAACCUGGGGACUGCCUUUGUGACUGCAAGGCUCGAGCAAGGCAGAGGGGGGUGGAAUUACGAGUGUAGCAGUGAAAUGCGUAGAUAUGCGGAGGAACACCGAUGGCGAAGGCAAUCCCCUGGGCCUGUACUGACGCUCAUGCACGAAAGCGUGGGGAGCAAACAGGAUUAGAUACCCUGGUAGUCCACGCCCUAAACGAUGUCAACUGGUUGUUGGGUCUUCAUUGACUCAGUAACGAAGCUAACGCGUGAAGUUGACCGCCUGGGGAGUACGGCCGCAAGGUUGAAACUCAAAUGAAUUGACGGGG